RNAcentral lists this long non-coding RNA (2276 nucleotides) under Strongylocentrotus purpuratus (purple sea urchin). Lineage: Eukaryota; Metazoa; Echinodermata; Echinoidea; Camarodonta; Strongylocentrotidae. The record is from RNAcentral.
UUGUUAUCAAUAUCAGAGCUCUUUGAGUCCGACUACUUAAUUGAGACUUCUUCACUUCAGUGGAACGACAUUUCUUGCGGAUCUUGAACUCUGUCAAACAGCUGUGGAUUCAUCUAAAGACUAGUGACUUACUUUGUUUUGACAUCAUGACUUCUGCUACGACGGCAAGGAAACAAACACCAAGUGAUUUCUUGAAGCUCAUCAUUGGCAGACCAGUUGUCGUUAAACUCAAUUCAGGAGUAGAUUAUAGAGGAGUCUUGGCCUGUUUGGAUGGGUAUAUGAACAUUGCCUUGGAGCAGACGGAGGAGUAUGUCAAUGGUCAGCUCAAAAACAAAUAUGGAGAUGCUUUCAUCAGAGGAAAUAAUGUGCUAUACAUCAGUACGCAAAAGAGGUUCUGACGACCGCAUGGUUACACGGGACUAGCUGCUCUUAUCUCAGCAUUGUAAAUAUUCACCAAGAACUGUACCAACUACCAAGAAGGUAGAUUUUUUUCAUGAGGACCAACACAGUAUGGAAAAAUGUUUCUGGCUUUCUGGUUAGACAAGCGACCAGGAAGACUGUAGGGGAUGAGCCUCAUGAUCGUGACCUAUUUUGGUUUGAUAUGGAAACGACCGACAUGCAUCUGGCAGUUGGAUACAGUCAUUUGAACUUGCUUUACGGCGUCUGAAAUGUAGACUUCAAUCUCAUAUGGUCCAUAUUAUGGCUGUUCCUGUGUCUGUCCUGCAAGUAUAGACUCUACUUGGACACACUGACAAAUUUCAUGGUCAUUAAUACUACUCAGUAAUUGUAAAGAGUUUGACAUGUGGUGUAUAAUUCCAAAGAGUCAUAGAACAUGUUUUCUUGUUCUCUCUGGCUAGUCUGAAACUGCAGACCCUUUUUUGGUAGUAAACUAUGGACUCUGUUUUGUUUUUCUUCUGAUUUUUUCUUCUUUUCAGCCAUUCUCUGGAACAGUCAAUCACUAAAUAGAGUCUGGCAUAUAUAUACUGUUUUUAUAUGCCUCAUUCUUUAACUGGUUCUUGUAUUAAGUCUGCAAAAAUAGACCUAUUGUGACAAACCAUAGUCGUCAAAGCCCAGCUCAAAUCAACAGUGCCCAAUAGACAUUUAUUUGUGUAGUCUAUAAAUGUAACAAGUUCAGACCCUGCACACAAAAUCCUUUUGUGCACAUGGCUCUUCAACCAUAGUCUAGCUACAGAAAGUUGAGCUGCAAAUUUCUGGAAUUAUCAUUAUUUCAUGAUAAAGUAAAAAUGAAGUCUGUACAUGCAGAAUGCAUUCCCUUUGACUAGUUUUCUUCCAUUUUUGCCCCUGUAGUUGAUUAUCAUGUUCAUGAUGGUUUCUAAAUAUGAUUAACAAUCACUAUGGUUCAAAGCAUUAAGAUCAAUGGGUCAGAAUGUCUUUGUAUCGAUGUGUGAAGAAGUAAGUGAGAAUAUCACUUUUUUUUUUGUUAUCUGAAGAUUCAAAUUCCAUUUAAUUUGUUUAACUUGUUCAGUUUUAUACAGACCAAUAGCCCAAAAGUCUUCUUUCUGUAAAAUUGUGCAUGAAUCUAUUUUUUCCCAUCUUCUUUUAAAGUGUCAAAAUGGAUACUUUUAAAAAGUAGCAAGCAAAUCCCUUCAUUGCAAGAAAACAAAUUGUCUACAUUUAUUUUACCUUAGAUAUUUUAUAUGAUCUGGCCAAGAGCCUAUAUUAAAAGUUUUAAAUUGCAUUUUUAAUCUUAAAUUAUCUGAGUUAGGGAUAUAGGCCUUUCUGUUUUGUUUUUUGCUGGUACCUAGUACAUUGAUUGUGUUUUUGCUCAUUCAUUUGAAACCUUAACAGUGCCAUUAAUGCAUUUAUCAGAAUGAUGAUCCUACAGAUACCAACCAUGUGCCCCGGCCCAUUAAGUCCUUUGGUUAAUCAUAUCCUCCGGUCAACCAUUUUCUCCGGUCAACCAUGUUCUCCGGUCAACCAUGUCCCCCGGUCAAUCAAGUCCUUUGAUCAAUCAUGUCCUCCGGUCAACCAUGUUCUCCGGUCAACCAUGUCCCCCGGUCAAUCAAGUCCUUCGAUCAACCAUGUUCUCCGGUCAACCAUGUUCUCCGGUCAAUCAUGUCAUCUACUGAGAACCUGAAGGGUCUUAACUUGCAUCCUUUUCUUUUAGAAAGAGUCGGUAACCUUCUACCUCUCAACGAACAAUUUGUCAUUAUUGUCUACUUUAUGUUGAAGUUAAGAAAAAAACAAUGAUAUUGUAUGCUUGUUACAAGUCCAUGUUUUGUAAUAAAAUUCAAUUUGACUUUAAGUUCAAUCAA